CGUCCCCCCGUCACGCUCAGUUCACGGGAGGAAGGGAGGAGGGGAGCACGUGUGAGAGAGCCACAAUCACCUCGCCACCUUAAUGAGUCACUUCUGGAAGGUCAUAAGAAUCAGUACUUCGUCUCCUCUUCACUUUAAACCCAUGGACGUGCGAUGGUGUCCUUGAAGUGACCUGAUCUGACCUUCACUCCCGGCCCGUCCCCGUCACUCCUUCACCCCUUCACCUGCUGCCUACGUCUGUGUCUCCUUCAGGUACUCGCCGCGGCCCAUCGAGUCACCAGUGCAGGUCAACAGGUGAUGGUGCGACGGUGGUGAAU
Portunus trituberculatus (swimming crab) is the source of this 317-nucleotide long non-coding RNA. RefSeq lists it as uncharacterized. The record is from RefSeq and is a predicted model, not a curated record. Lineage: Eukaryota; Metazoa; Arthropoda; Malacostraca; Decapoda; Portunidae. The transcript has 3 exons.